Molecule: ribosomal RNA, 426 nt
Filed under: uncultured bacterium
Lineage: Bacteria
Description: bacterial SSU rRNA
Rfam family: Bacterial small subunit ribosomal RNA
Source: RNAcentral
GGGAGGCAGCAGUGAGGAAUAUUGGUCAAUGGACGAGAGUCUGAACCAGCCAAGUAGCGUGAAGGAUGACUGCCUAUGGGUUGUAAACUUCUUUUAUACGGGAAUAAGUGAGGCACGUGUGCCUUUUUGUAUGUACCGUAUGAAUAAGGAUCGGCUAACUCCGUGCCAGCAGCCGCGGUAAUACGGAGGAUCCGAGCGUUAUCCGGAUUUAUUGGGUUUAAAGGGAGCGUAGGCGGACGCUUAAGUCAGUUGUGAAAGUUUGCGGCUCAACCGUAAAAUUGCAGUUGAUACUGGGUGUCUUGAGUACAGUAGAGGCAGGCGGAAUUCGUGGUGUAGCGGUGAAAUGCUUAGAUAUCACGAAGAACUCCGAUUGCGAAGGCAGCCUGCUGGACUGUAACUGACGCUGAUGCUCGAAAGUGUGGGUAU